RNAcentral lists this transfer RNA (76 nucleotides) under Candidatus Levybacteria bacterium RIFCSPHIGHO2_02_FULL_37_10. RNAcentral describes it as "tRNA-Phe". It matches the Rfam family "tRNA". Rfam says of the family: Transfer RNA (tRNA) molecules are approximately 80 nucleotides in length. Their secondary structure includes four short double-helical elements and three loops (D, anti-codon, and T loops). Lineage: Bacteria; Candidatus Levyibacteriota. RNAcentral also lists the same sequence under 1 other name. The record is from RNAcentral.
GCCGAGAUUGCCAACGAGGUCAAGGCGCCGCUCUGAAGAAGCGGUUAUGCGGGUUCGAUUCCUGCUCUCGGCACCU